RNAcentral lists this ribosomal RNA (476 nucleotides) under uncultured anaerobic ammonium-oxidizing bacterium. RNAcentral describes it as "bacterial SSU rRNA". It matches the Rfam family "Bacterial small subunit ribosomal RNA", at positions 365 to 832 of the family's 1533-position model. The record is from RNAcentral.
UUCGCAAUGCCCGAAAGGGUGACGAUGCGACGCCGCGUGAGCGAAGAAGGCCUUAGGGUUGUAAAGCUCUGUCGAGGGUUAUGAAAUAUAGAUGGGUUAAUACCCCAUUUAUUUGACAAAAGCCCAAAAGGAAGCCACGGCUAACUCUGUGCCAGCAGCCGCGGUAAUACAGAGGUGGCGAGCGUUGUUCGGUAUUAUUGGGCGUAAAGAGCACGUAGGUGGUUUUGUAAGUCAGGUGUGAAAGCCUUCUGUUCAAAGGAAGAACGGCAUCUGAAACUGCAGAUCUUGAGUGUAGGAGGGGAGAGUGGAACUUCUGGUGGAGCGGUGAAAUGCGUAGAUAUCAGAAGGAACGUCGGCGGCGAAGGCGACUCUCUGGCCUAUUACUGACACUGAGGUGCGAAAGUUAGGGGAGCAAACGGGAUUAGAUACCCCGGUAGUCCUAACCGUAAACGAUGGGCACUAAGUAGAGGGGUUUU